RNAcentral lists this ribosomal RNA (459 nucleotides) under uncultured bacterium. Its description in RNAcentral is "partial 16S ribosomal RNA". It matches the Rfam family "Bacterial small subunit ribosomal RNA", at positions 338 to 795 of the family's 1533-position model. The record is from RNAcentral.
CCUACGGGAGGCUGCAGUGAGGAAUAUUGGUCAAUGGGCGAAAGCCUGAACCAGCCAAGUCGCGUGAAGGAUGAAGGAUCUAUGGUUUGUAAACCUCUUUUAUCUGGGAGUAAAGUGCGGCACGUGUUGCUUUUUGUAUGUACCAUAUGAAUAAGCAUCGGCUAACUCCGUGCCAGCAGCAGCGGUAAUACGGAGGAUGCGAGCGUUAUCCGGAUUUAUGGGGUUUAAAGGGUGAGAAGGCGGAAUGUAAAGCCGGCGGGAAAAUCUCGGGGCUCAACCCCGCCGUGCCGUUGAAACUGGGGGUCUUGAGUGCGGGAGAGGUAUGCGGAAUGCGCGGUGUAGCGGUGAAAUGCAUAGAUAUCGCGCAGAACCCCGAUUGCGAAGGCAGCGUGCCGGGGCGCAACUGACGCUGAGGCACGAAAGCGUGGGGAUCGAACAGGAUUAGAUACCCGAGUAGUC